This 465-nucleotide ribosomal RNA is filed under the name uncultured bacterium. RNAcentral describes it as "partial 16S ribosomal RNA". It matches the Rfam family "Bacterial small subunit ribosomal RNA", at positions 28 to 507 of the family's 1533-position model. The record is from RNAcentral.
GACGAACGCUGGCGGCGUGCUUAACACAUGCAAGUCGAACGGAAAGGCCCUGCUUGCAGGGUACUCGAGUGGCGAACGGGUGAGUAACACGUGGGUGAUCUGCCCUGCACUUCGGGAUAAGCCUGGGAAACUGGGUCUAAUACCGGAUAGGAGCCAUUUUUAGUGUGAUGGUUGGAAAGUUUUUUCGGUGUAGGAUGAGCUCGCGGCCUAUCAGCUUGUUGGUGGGGUAAUGGACUACCAAGGCGGCGACGGGUAGCCGGCCUGAGAGGGUGGACGGCCACACUGGGACUGAGAGACGGCCCAGACUCCUACGGGAGGCAGCAGGGGGGAAUAUUGCACAAUGGGCGCAAGCCUGAUGCAGCGACGCCGCGUGGGGGAUGACGGCCUUCGGGUUGUAAACUCCUUUCGCUAGGGACGAAGCUUUUUGUGACGGUACCUAGAUAAGAAGCACCGGCUAACUACGUG